This 635-nucleotide ribosomal RNA is filed under the name uncultured bacterium. RNAcentral's name for it is "bacterial SSU rRNA". It matches the Rfam family "Bacterial small subunit ribosomal RNA", at positions 391 to 1042 of the family's 1533-position model. The record is from RNAcentral.
AUCAUGCCGCGUGAGUGAUGAAGGCCUUCGGGUUGUAAAGCUCUUUUGUUAGGGACGAUAAUGACGGUACCUAACGAAUAAGCCCCGGCUAACUUCGUGCCAGCAGCCGCGGUAAUACGAAGGGGGCUAGCGUUGUUCGGAAUGACUGGGCGUAAAGGGAGCGUAGGCGGUUUGGAACGUUUGGUGUGAAAGUCCUGGGCUUAACCUGGGGACUGCAUUGAAAACGGCCAGACUUGAGGUAUAGAGGGGAAUAUGGAAUUGCGUGUGUAGAGGUGAAAUUCGUAGAUAUACGCAAGAACACCGAUGGCGAAGGCAGUAUUCUGGCUAUAACCUGACGCUAAGGCUCGAAAGCGUGGGGAGCAAACAGGAUUAGAUACCCUGGUAGUCCACGCUGUAAACGAUGAGUGCUAGAUGUGAGUCAGAGAUGAUUCGUGUCGCCGCUAACGCAUUAAGCACUCCGCCUGGGGAGUACGGUCGCAAGAUUAAAACUCAAAGGAAUUGACGGGGACCCGCACAAGCGGUGGAGUAUGUGGUUUAAUUCGAAGCAACGCGCAGAACCUUACCAGCUCUUGACAUGGGACGUAUGGACUUUAGAGAUCAAGUUCUUCACUUCGGGUGGCGUCCGCACAGGUGCU